AAUGGGCGCAAGCCUGAUCCAGCCAUGCCGCGUGAGUGAUGAAGGCCCUAGGGUCGUAAAGCUCUUUCGCCUGUGAAGAUAAUGACGGUAGCAGGUAAAGAAACCCCGGCUAACUCCGUGCCAGCAGCCGCGGUAAUACGGAGGGGGUUAGCGUUGUUCGGAAUUACUGGGCGUAAAGCGCGCGUAGGCGGAUUAGUCAGUCAGAGGUGAAAUCCCAGGGCUCAACCCUGGAACUGCCUUUGAUACUGCUAGUCUUGAGUUCGAGAGAGGUAAGUGGAAUUCCGAGUGUAGAGGUGAAAUUCGUAGAUAUUCGGAGGAACACCAGUGGCGAAGGCGGCCUACUGGCUCGAUACUGACGCUGAGGUGCGAAAGUGUGGGGAGCAAACAGGAUU
Molecule: ribosomal RNA, 392 nt
Filed under: uncultured Gammaproteobacteria bacterium
Lineage: Bacteria; Pseudomonadati; Pseudomonadota; Gammaproteobacteria
Description: bacterial SSU rRNA
Rfam family: Bacterial small subunit ribosomal RNA
Source: RNAcentral